AGCAGCCGCGGUAAUUCCAGCUCCAAUAGCGUAUAUUAAAGUUGUUGCAGUUAAAAAGCUCGUAGUUGAAUUUCGGGAUUGACGUGAUGGUCAUGCCUUAAGGGGUAUGAACUGUUGCAGUUGAUUUCUCACCUUCUGGAAAAACUUGAUGUCCUUUAUUGGGUGUCUUGCGGAUCCAGGACCUUUACCUUGAAAAAAUUAGAGUGUUUAAAGCAGGCAUUUUUGCUCGAAUACAUUAGCAUGGAAUAAUAGAAUAGGACGGCAUGGUUCUAUUUUGUUGGUUUCUAGGAUCACCGUAAUGAUUAAUAGGGAUAGUUGGGGGGCAUUAGUAUUCAAUUGUCAGAGGUGAGAUUCUUGGAUUUAUUGAAGACUAACUACUGCGAAAGCAUUUGCCAAGGAUGUUUUCAUUAAUCAAGAACGAAAGUUAGGGGAUCGAAGACGAUCAGAUACCGUCGUAGUCUUAACCAUAAACUAUGCCGACUAGGAAUCAGACGAUGUUAAUUUUUUAAUGAC
This 513-nucleotide ribosomal RNA is filed under the name uncultured Entrophospora. RNAcentral's name for it is "SSU rRNA". It matches the Rfam family "Eukaryotic small subunit ribosomal RNA", at positions 569 to 1075 of the family's 1831-position model. Lineage: Eukaryota; Fungi; Glomeromycota; Glomeromycetes; Entrophosporales; Entrophosporaceae. The record is from RNAcentral.